RNAcentral lists this transfer RNA (75 nucleotides) under Amaricoccus macauensis. RNAcentral's name for it is "tRNA-Val". It matches the Rfam family "tRNA". Rfam says of the family: Transfer RNA (tRNA) molecules are approximately 80 nucleotides in length. Their secondary structure includes four short double-helical elements and three loops (D, anti-codon, and T loops). Lineage: Bacteria; Pseudomonadati; Pseudomonadota; Alphaproteobacteria; Rhodobacterales; Paracoccaceae. The record is from RNAcentral.
GGGCGAUUAGCUCAGCGGUAGAGCGCUUCGUUCACAUCGAAGAUGUCGCAAGUUCGAUCCUUGCAUCGCCCACCA